This is a non-coding RNA of Brachypodium distachyon (stiff brome), 135 nucleotides long. NCBI's taxonomy places the organism in Eukaryota, Viridiplantae, Streptophyta, Magnoliopsida, Poales, Poaceae. The record is from Rfam.
CAUAUAAUCCUCCGUCCAACAAAAAAUGUCUCGAAUUUGUCAAAAUUUAAAUAUAUCUAGACAAAACUCAGUGUAUAGAUGCAUUCAAAUUUAAUCAAAGUUGAGACAUUCUUUGUUAGAUGGAGGGAAUAUAAA